GUGAAAUAUCGUCGGAGUAGCCGCUGGAUGUCAACUUUCCGGGGAUGGGGUAUUGUUAGGAACCAAGGUAGUAUGGGCUAUCUUUGUACCACAUUGGUUAGAAUGAGAUGACCAAUGUGGUACUUAAGUGGCUUGGCUCUCUCACCUCAAUAGCUGGGAUUGGAUUGUUGUUCUCCAAAGUGCUUUAAGUACCUCCAAGAGUCGUU
This 206-nucleotide unclassified non-coding RNA is filed under the name Hevea brasiliensis (rubber tree). The record is from RNAcentral. Lineage: Eukaryota; Viridiplantae; Streptophyta; Magnoliopsida; Malpighiales; Euphorbiaceae.